RNAcentral lists this ribosomal RNA (301 nucleotides) under uncultured bacterium. RNAcentral's name for it is "partial 16S ribosomal RNA". It matches the Rfam family "Bacterial small subunit ribosomal RNA", at positions 509 to 807 of the family's 1533-position model. The record is from RNAcentral.
CAGUCGCCGCGGUAAUACAGAGGGUGCGAGCGUUAAUCGGAUUUACUGGGCGUAAAGCGUGCGUAGGCGGCUUCUUAAGUCGGAUGUGAAAUCCCUGAGCUUAACUUAGGAAUUGCAUUCGAUACUGGGAAGCUAGAGUAUGGGAGAGGAUGGUAGAAUUCCAGGUGUAGCGGUGAAAUGCGUAGAGAUCUGGAGGAAUACCGAUGGCGAAGGCAGCCAUCUGGCCUAAUACUGACGCUGAGGUACGAAAGCAUGGGGAGCAAACAGGAUUAGAUACCCCUGUAGUCCCUGACUCUUAUAC